Molecule: transfer RNA, 75 nt
Filed under: Schistocerca americana (American grasshopper)
Lineage: Eukaryota; Metazoa; Arthropoda; Insecta; Orthoptera; Acrididae
Description: tRNA-Ser
Rfam family: tRNA
About the family: Transfer RNA (tRNA) molecules are approximately 80 nucleotides in length. Their secondary structure includes four short double-helical elements and three loops (D, anti-codon, and T loops). Further hydrogen bonds mediate the characteristic L-shaped molecular structure. tRNAs have two regions of fundamental functional importance: the anti-codon, which is responsible for specific mRNA codon recognition, and the 3' end, to which the tRNAs corresponding amino acid is attached (by aminoacyl-tRNA synthetases). tRNAs cope with the degeneracy of the genetic code in two manners: having more than one tRNA (with a specific anti-codon) for a particular amino acid; and 'wobble' base-pairing, i.e. permitting non-standard base-pairing at the 3rd anti-codon position.
Source: RNAcentral
GCCUGGGUGGCCGAGCGGUUCCAGGCGCUACAGCCUGGAACGCUGCGGUCGCAGGUUCGAAUCCUGCCUCGGGCA